RNAcentral lists this ribosomal RNA (498 nucleotides) under uncultured bacterium. RNAcentral describes it as "partial 16S ribosomal RNA". It matches the Rfam family "Bacterial small subunit ribosomal RNA", at positions 30 to 523 of the family's 1533-position model. The record is from RNAcentral.
AUUGAACGCUGGCGGCAUGCCUUACACAUGCAAGUCGAACGGUAACAGGUCUUCGGAUGCUGACGAGUGGCGAACGGGUGAGUAAUACAUCGGAACGUGCCUAGUGGUGGGGGAUAACUACUCGAAAGAGUGGCUAAUACCGCAUGAGAUCUACGGAUGAAAGCAGGGAAUCGCAAGACCUUGUGCUACUAGAGCGGCCGAUGGCAGAUUAGGUAGUUGGUGGGAUAAAAGCUUACCAAGCCGACGAUCUGUAGCUGGUCUGAGAGGACGAUCAGCCACACUGGGACUGAGACACGGCCCAGACUCCUACGGGAGGCAGCAGUGGGGAAUUUUGGACAAUGGGCGAAAGCCUGAUCCAGCAAUGACGCGUGCAGGAUGAAGGCCUUCAGGUUGUAAACUGCUUUUGUACGGAACGAAAAGCCCCGGGUUAAUACCCUGGGGUCAUGACGGUACCGUAAGAAUAAGCACCGGCUAACUACGUGCCAGCCGCCGCCGUAA